RNAcentral lists this ribosomal RNA (837 nucleotides) under uncultured bacterium. Its description in RNAcentral is "bacterial SSU rRNA". It matches the Rfam family "Bacterial small subunit ribosomal RNA", at positions 49 to 858 of the family's 1533-position model. The record is from RNAcentral.
UCGAGCGAGCUUGCCUAGAUGAAUUUGGUGCUUGCACCAGAUGAAACUAGAUACAAGCGAGCGGCGGACGGGUGAGUAACACGUGGGUAACCUGCCCAAGAGACUGGGAUAACACCUGGAAACAGAUGCUAAUACCGGAUAACAACACUAGACGCAUGUCUAGAGUUUAAAAGAUGGUUCUGCUAUCACUCUUGGAUGGACCUGCGGUGCAUUAGCUAGUUGGUAAGGUAACGGCUUACCAAGGCAAUGAUGCAUAGCCGAGUUGAGAGACUGAUCGGCCACAUUGGGACUGAGACACGGCCCAAACUCCUACGGGAGGCAGCAGUAGGGAAUCUUCCACAAUGGACGCAAGUCUGAUGGAGCAACGCCGCGUGAGUGAAGAAGGGUUUCGGCUCGUAAAGCUCUGUUGGUAGUGAAGAAAGAUAGAGGUAGUAACUGGCCUUUAUUUGACGGUAAUUACUUAGAAAGUCACGGCUAACUACGUGCCAGCAGCCGCGGUAAUACGUAGGUGGCAAGCGUUGUCCGGAUUUAUUGGGCGUAAAGCGAGUGCAGGCGGUUCAAUAAGUCUGAUGUGAAAGCCUUCGGCUCAACCGGAGAAUUGCAUCAGAAACUGUUGAACUUGAGUGCAGAAGAGGAGAGUGGAACUCCAUGUGUAGCGGUGGAAUGCGUAGAUAUAUGGAAGAACACCAGUGGCGAAGGCGGCUCUCUGGUCUGCAACUGACGCUGAGGCUCGAAAGCAUGGGUAGCGAACAGGAUUAGAUACCCUGGUAGUCCAUGCCGUANACGAUGAGUGCUAAGUGUUGGGAGGUUUCCGCCUCUCAGUGCUGCAGCUAACGC